RNAcentral lists this ribosomal RNA (819 nucleotides) under uncultured Methanothermococcus sp. Its description in RNAcentral is "bacterial SSU rRNA". It matches the Rfam family "Archaeal small subunit ribosomal RNA", at positions 21 to 846 of the family's 1478-position model. The record is from RNAcentral. Lineage: Archaea; Methanobacteriati; Methanobacteriota; Methanococci; Methanococcales; Methanococcaceae.
AAUUACUGCUAUCGGGGUUCGACUAANCCAUGCGAGUCUACGGACUUCGGUCCAUGGCGGACGGCUCAGUAACACGUGGCUAACCUACCCUCGGGUGGGGGAUAACCUCGGGAAACUGAGGAUAAUACCCCAUAGGAGAAGAGGUCUGGAAUGAUCCUUCUCUGAAAACAUAUGUGCCCGAGGAUGGGGCCUGCGUCUGAUUAGGUAGUUGGUGGGGUAACGGCCCACCAAGCCUACGAUCAGUACGGGCCUUGAGAGAGGCAGCCCGGAGAUGGGGACUGAGACACGGCCCCAGGCCCUACGGGGCGCAGCAGGCGCGAAACCUCCGCAAUGCACGAAAGUGCGACGGGGGGACCCCAAGUGCUUACGCACUGCGUAGGCUUUUCUAAAGUGUAAAAAGCUUUAGGAAUAAGGGCUGGGCAAGUCCGGUGCCAGCAGCCGCGGUAACACCGGCGGCCCGAGUGGUGACCACUUUUAUUGGGCCUAAAGCGCCCGUAGCCGGUCCAGUAAGUCCCUGUUUAAAUCCUACGGCUUAACCGUAGGGCUGGCAGGGAUACUGCUGGACUUGGGACCGGGAGAGGGCGAGGGUACUUCAGGGGUAGCGGUGAAAUGUGUUGAUCCCUGGAGGACCACCUAUGGCGAAGGCACUCGCCUGGAACGGGUCCGACGGUGAGGGACGAAAGCCANGGGCGCGAACCGGAUUGGAUACCCGGGUAGUCCUGGCCGUAAACUCUGCGGACUAGGUGUUAGGUAGGCCCCGUGCCUAUNUAGUGCCGAAAGGAAGCCGUUNAGUCCGCCNCCUGGGGAGUNUGGUCGCAA